Molecule: ribosomal RNA, 253 nt
Filed under: uncultured bacterium
Lineage: Bacteria
Description: partial 16S ribosomal RNA
Rfam family: Bacterial small subunit ribosomal RNA
Source: RNAcentral
UACGGAGGGUGCGAGCGUUAAUCGGAAUUACUGGGCGUAAAGCGCACGUAGGUGGCUACGUAAGUCGAUUGUGAAAGCCCCGGGCUUAACCUGGGAACUGCAGUCGAUACUGCGUUGCUAGAGUGUGGUAGAGGGAAGCGGAAUUCCGGGUGUAGCGGUGAAAUGCGUAGAUAUCCGGAGGAACACCAGUGGCGAAGGCGGCUUCCUGGACCAACACUGACGCUGAGGUGCGAAAGCGUGGGGAGCAAACAGG